GACGAACGCUGGCGGCGUUCUUAACACAUGCAAGUCGAACGGAAAGGCCCUGCUUUUGUGGGGUGCUCGAGUGGCGAACGGGUGAGUAACACGUGAGUAACCUGCCCUUGACUUUGGGAUAACUUCAGGAAACUGGGGCUAAUACCGGAUAGGAGCUCCUGCUGCAUGGUGGGGGUUGGAAAGUUUCGGCGGUUGGGGAUGGACUCGCGGCUUAUCAGCUUGUUGGUGGGGUAGUGGCUUACCAAGGCUUUGACGGGUAGCCGGCCUGAGAGGGUGACCGGCCACAUUGGGACUGGGAUACGGCCCAGACUCCUACGGGAGGCAGCAGUGGGGAAUAUUGCACAAUGGGCGGAAGCCUGAUGCAGCAACGCCGCGUGCGGGAUGACGGCCUUCGGGUUGUAAACCGCUUUCGCCUGUGACGAAGCGUGAGUGACGGUAAUGGGUAAAGAAGCACCGGCUAACUACGUG
This 468-nucleotide ribosomal RNA is filed under the name uncultured bacterium. RNAcentral describes it as "partial 16S ribosomal RNA". It matches the Rfam family "Bacterial small subunit ribosomal RNA", at positions 28 to 507 of the family's 1533-position model. The record is from RNAcentral.